RNAcentral lists this long non-coding RNA (171 nucleotides) under Anneissia japonica. RNAcentral describes it as "uncharacterized LOC117121686". The record is from RNAcentral. Lineage: Eukaryota; Metazoa; Echinodermata; Crinoidea; Comatulida; Comatulidae.
CACGGACUUAGCGUCCCUUCUUAGGACGCUUCUUUCCUUUUUCUAAUUGGCAAGAACAAAGACAGGACGUACCGAAAAAUAGCAGCCGUGUCCAUUUGAAAAUCUACUGUAGCUACCGUUUUUCAGGGGAAGGAGCUAUAGCAGACAAAGAAUUAUGAUACAUGAUUAUUA